UCGCCGCCGUCGCCUAGCGAAUAGGGUUGGGGCUCGCACGGUCCCCGCGGCACCCCGAGACUAGCCAUCCCGUCUCGUCCCCGCAUCUCGGAGCGCCACGGCGGGCUCCUGCCGCCCCGCCCCACCCCACCCCCCGGCGCGCGUCCCGAGCCCCGCCCGCGCGCCCGGCAGGAAAGGGCGGUCCUGCGCUGUCGCCCACGCUCGCUCCCGCUGUCGGACUCUGGGCCUGGACCGCGCGUGACCGGCGCCAAGAGCGAGAGGCAUGGGCGCGCGCCCGGGCCAGUGAACGGCUCCGGGAUGGACUGCGGCUCAGUCGGCGGCCAGAGGACCCAGCGCCUGCCCGGCCGCCGGCGGCUUCUCUUCUUGCCCGCGGGCCUCAGCGGAAGACCCGGCGGCAGCGAAACCUCAGCACGCCGCUGCCUCUCUGCGCUCUCCGACGGUCUGGGGGCGCUGCGCCCUCGCGCCCCGGCGGCCCGCGGCGGCGUGUCACGUGCCUCACCGCUGCUCCUCCUCCUGCUAGUGCCCUCCCCGCGCUUGGCCGCCGCAGCCCCGCGCCGGCAGCUCGGGGACUGGGAGCGCUCGCGCCUCGGGUAUGCCGCACCCCCGGCCGGGCGCAGCGGCGCGUGGAGGUGCUCACCGGGCCUCGGCCCGGGCGUUGCCGCUGCCGCCGGCGCCCUUCCCCAGUACCACGGCCCGGCGCCUGCACUCGUUUCCUGCAGGAGAGAGCUAAGCUUGUCUGCUGGAUCCCUGCAGCUGGAGCGCAAAAGGAGAGAUUUCACCUCUUCUGGGAGCAGGAAGCUCUACUUCGACACUCAUGCCUUAGUGUGCUUACUGGAAGACAAUGGGUUUGCUACUCAACAAGCAGAAAUCAUUGUGUCUGCGUUGGUCAAGAUCCUGGAGGCCAACAUGGACAUCGUCUACAAAGAUAUGGUCACCAAGAUGCAGCAGGAAAUCACUUUUCAGCAAGUAAUGUCUCAGAUUGCGAAUGUGAAAAAGGAUAUGAUUAUUUUGGAGAAGAGUGAAUUUUCAGCCCUCAGAGCAGAAAAUGAGAAAAUAAAACUCGAACUACAUCAGUUAAAACAACAAGUAAUGGAUGAAGUGAUCAAAGUCCGAACAGAUACCAAAUUAGACUUCAACCUAGAAAAGAGCAGAGUAAAAGAAUUGGAGGUACUGAGACCAGAAUAUUUAAGGCACCAGAGAAGGAGAAGAGAGAGGAGUAGAUCAGAAUCUGACCCAUGUUACGUGUUUAUUUCAGUAUUCAUUGAACGAAAAGAAGCUGCUGGAAUUGAGAACAGAAAUUGUGGCAUUGCAUGCCCAGCAAGAUCGGGCCCUUACCCAGACAGACAGGAAGAUCGAAACUGAGGUUGCUGGCCUCAAAACCAUGCUUGAGUCACACAAGCUUGAUAAUAUUAAAUAUUUAGCAGGGUCUAUAUUUACGUGCCUAACAGUAGCUCUGGGAUUUUAUCGCCUGUGGAUCUAAUAAAGUGUCUAUUUAAAGAGA
Molecule: RNA transcript, 1501 nt
Organism: Gorilla gorilla gorilla (western lowland gorilla)
Lineage: Eukaryota; Metazoa; Chordata; Mammalia; Primates; Hominidae
Gene: MCUR1
Gene name: mitochondrial calcium uniporter regulator 1
Exons: 9
Source: RefSeq, a predicted model, not a curated record